Molecule: RNA transcript, 3893 nt
Organism: Pezoporus occidentalis (night parrot)
Lineage: Eukaryota; Metazoa; Chordata; Aves; Psittaciformes; Psittacidae
Gene: TSLIG2
Gene name: chromosome unknown C2orf49 homolog
Exons: 5
Source: RefSeq, a predicted model, not a curated record
GCUGGAAGGAGCCCCUGUGGUGCGCACAACGUUCGGACUGGGGACGGCCAGGGGUGGCUGUUUGUUGUUUCCCAUCGCUGUAGGAGCGCUACGGGUUGUGGCCACAGGGCAGGUCCUUCCUGACACAGGCGGAAAAGCAGCUCUUCCAAGAGAAAUGAGAAUGUAACAGUGGUUGUGAGUGGUUUGGGAGGGGGAGAGUGCAAGGAGGCGGGCGGUACACACUACCAGAGCGCAGCCUGAGGGGCACCACGUGACAUAACGUGUUAUUACACUGUUUGUACGCUUAAAUGAGUUUUAGGUAUUCAGAACUUGUAUUCAUAUUCUCGGAAGUGCUGUGUAUAGCAAUGAUGUUACACAUAGGGUCAUAUGUAUGCAAUGUGUUCUGUGUGUAUGUUUUUGUUACGUUACUCAGAAUUGCUCAUCCUCCUUACUGCUGUGAAGUGCAUCAAGUACUUUGAGUUACGUUGCAAUUUCAUAUUGUAACGACAGCGUGGUUAAUUUACUAAUGUAAUCGUUUGUUAAUUCCCCCUUCCGCUUUCAGUACGUAGGCAGGUUGCCAACUCAAACGUGCCGGCAGCUACUUUACUUUGGAACUGCAAAGCAGCUUUAGUCAUUGCAGCUCAGGAAGUGUUAUUAGUUGCUGUUGUCCAAAAAGUGUAUUUGAAAGCAGGUUUGUGCCUGGCAUGCAGUAAACCAGCUCCACAGCCUCAGGAGAGAUACUGUGUUUAUUCACGCCUGGGUGCUGGGUGGACUGUUCCACAGAUCAAAUGCACCAAUGCUGGCUUUCUUGUUACGUUUAUACACAACAGUUACAAGAUGGUACACUCCCAGUGUUGGUUGUAAUCUGUAUGUAACAUUUGCUGUGUCACUCAUUCUAGUCACUCUUCAUGCUCACAUGAGAGGCCUUCACCUGGGCUAGGGUCUUUCUGACCUGGGGGUGUGAUUUUUAGUAUAAUAAUGAAAGCAGUUCACUUCAGGACAUCUUAAAAGUUGGUUUCAUUGCCAAGUCAGGUAACCGAAUGGUCACUUUGCCAAGCUGUCAAGUAACUCAUCCUUUAGUACUACCAGUCCUGAAUGUUCUCCUUUGAUCCUUCAAACACGACCAGGAUGUAGUUGUGCCAAUGAGAUCCUUGUUGUUUCGAGAAGGUCACUUCAUCCCAGGCCCGAGCUGUGUAACCAUGGCUACCAACGACAGGUACACAGCAUAGCAAGCAAUGUAUCACACCGCUGCCGCUGUCACGGACACGUUUAACCCAGCGGCCAAUCCUGACGUAACCCCGCCGCGCCACUUCCUGCGCCAGCCCCCGCCCCGCGCGGCAUUGUGGGAAGCCGGAAAGGGGUCGCGGGGGAAGAAGAUGGCUGCGCGGGGAAGGGGCAGGGUCGGAGGUGGAGGCCGCGAUGGCAUUGACGGAAAGGUGGAGCGGGAGUCGGGGCGUCCGGAGUCGGAGCUGCUGCUGCACCCGGAGCUGCUCUCGGAGGAGUUCCUGCUGCUCACGCUGGAGCAGAAAAAUAUACUAGUUGAAAAUGAUGUAAAGAUGGAUAAAGAUGGUCUCACUGAUCUCUAUAUUCAACAUGCCAUUCCUCUGCCUCAGCGUGACUUGCCAAAAAGUAGAUGGGGAAAAAUGAUGGAGAAGAAAAGACAGCAAAAUGAGUUUAAAAGUGAGAAUAAAAGUGUUACAAUGGCAGAAGGUUUAAGGAAACGGCCAUUAAUUGUAUUUGACGGCAGUUCAACAAGUACGAGCAUAAAAGUGAAAAAGACAGAAAAUGGAGCUGCUGAUCGCCUAAAACCUCCUCCAGCUGGAAGCACCACCAACACUGUUAGAAGAUUAUCUGUUCCUCCGAAUGCCGCAACGUACAUUUCAGCCUCCAGUUUAUCAGAGGACGCUAAGCUGGGAAUGAGGAAUAAUGAGACUAAGCAGAACAAUAUUUCAAAGACUAACAGCAGUAUGUUGGCUAGUCUGAAGGUGUACCCCUUGUCUCCAGUAGCAGGAACUACUGUUGUGAAGUUAAAGAGAGCUGUUCCAAAAGAAGAAUCUGAUUUGCCGGAAUUGGCAAGCUAGAGAAAGGAACUGGAUAUGAAUAUCUGGAGAGCUGCCUGGACUGUGGGUCUAAAUGAGAAGCUGUAACAACAAGCUGUACUAACUGAAGUGAGAGGCUAAAUGUUGAGUUCUCAUUUUGAGCCAUGGUGGUCUUAAUCAGGUAUCUGGGCUUCUGUAAGAUGAUGAGAAAGACAAGCUGAGGUCUUGAGCAGACUAGUGCUGUUCUCAAGUAGAAGGCUGAUGAGUGAGCUGUUAACCAUGAAGAGUGACCUAAAGCCUACGGAAGCAAAGAAGAAAAUCCAGCAUGUUACAUGGCCAUGAAGUAGCUAAUGGUGCUUGAAAUAUAAGUAUUACUUCCAUAUUUUCAAACAGAUAAGUUGUAUUUAAACAGUUGAAGUACAAUUCUUUUUAAACCUUACAGGGAUUCAGAUUGCUGUGAAGUUUUAAUGACUUUAAAAGUUCCCUGUUGUAACGCUGGGGUCAUUAUCACCAGUCACCUUAAAAGUGUCUACUUAUGUACAGCAAGUAGCUCAGUAUUUCUUUAAAAGGUGGUAAUAUUACAAUGUUCUACUACCAGCCCCCCCCCCCUUUUUUUUUUUUUUUUGGUUUUGAAGAUUGUUAUAGUUCAUCUCUGGCAUGUCAUUCCAAUUCACACCUAGAAAUACAUUAUUUUUGUUUCAGUAAGAUUCAGUUUUGUUCCACUUAUGGUCAAAUAGUUAAAAUAGCUAUUGAAAUUCAGAAUCAUCCCAAGAGCCUUCUUGACAGUAAAAAGAUAACUCAUUUAGAUGAGAAAACUGACCAUUCUGCUGGUAAGAUAAUCGGAGACAAAAUGUUUUCCUUUAUGUUGGACAGGAGUGUAGAAUUUACAGUGCAAGUUAGAUUGGUAAUAAGAGAUGAACUAUUUUAACAGCAUUACUUCAAAUUGAAGUUUCUCUUAUUGACAUAUGAAAUAAGACAUACACGGAUGGGAGUAUGCUACUAGGCUGUUUGAUAUGGAUCUUUGAGAGGAAGUAGUGAAUGGAUUAGUGCCAUUUUCUCUUGAAUACACAGGCAUAUUUUAUACAUGCUUAAGUGCAAAAAUGUGUCGAUGUAGCAAAUUUGCUGUUCUCCUGAUUACAGUCAUGCUUAUAAAAUGUGGGGAAAACAUGUGGAAUGCAGGCCAGUGCUUUCUCAACUUAAUUGGAAAGGGACAGGAGUAGGAAGACAAAGUAAUACUUUGAGAGUGUUAGCGUAUGUAGGUGCAUUCUUAAAAAAUAAAUAAAUAAAAAUUGGUAACCUCUUUUCCCUUCUUUUGAUCAUUUAAGAUGGGUGUUGGUUUUCUGUGAAACUUGGUGUUUCAUCUGCAUUGUUGGUAGUGCCUUAUAAGGCAGAAAUCCCGUUAAGUUCAUAGAAAUAUUAUUACUAAAACUCAGUGGCACAGGGUGAAGCCAAUUUAGAUCCAUUUUAGAUAUGUAUGGUAAAUAAUAACAGCAACACUCCUGGACUUAGUAAAACAGAAAAAGAAUCAACUUCUGAAUCUGCUUAGUUAACCCACUAAGAGAAGCUCUCAGUAGUGAUCUGAAAGAUGUUUACAUUUGUAAUAUUGGUUAAUGUUGAAACCAAAACCUGUAGCUUAAUUCAUUACUGACAGAAGUUCUCCAUUCACUGUUACAACAUAAAAGGCACUUCUCGAAUGCUGUAAAAUGGUAAGAAUGUGUGUUUUGAAAUAGUGUGCUGUUUUCCUUUUACUAAACUCUUGUCCAGGUUUUGUACUUGAGUAUAGCAAACUUUAACGUAAUGUACAUUUUGUAUGUAAAGAGUUGUCUUUUAAGUAACCUUAUCCUAUUUAAAUAAAUUCAGUUAAAAGCAAACAAA